Molecule: long non-coding RNA, 428 nt
Filed under: Oryza brachyantha (malo sina)
Lineage: Eukaryota; Viridiplantae; Streptophyta; Magnoliopsida; Poales; Poaceae
Description: long non-coding RNA (OBRA_LNC001541)
Source: RNAcentral
AGCAUCACUGAUCAGUUCAGCGAGGAGAAGCGAAAUGGAUCAGGGGGCCGGAAGACGGUCAUCAGCUCUAGUCUAGUGAUGAUACAUGUCACCAUGAGUAAUUUUACCGUUUUAUCAUUAUUAUUGAAGAGGUAUCAAUAAGGUACCAAUUUUCUAUGUGAUAAAAGAUACCAAAUUUUAUAUAGUACCUUCUUAAGGAUAGGAAAAAUGUUCUGUCACCAUUGUCUGUACCAAUUCCUAGAGCUGUUAAUUAAUUUCCUUCGUGCAUACAUGUAUAUAUUAUUACUUGUAGCGUACACCGCUGUACAUGUAUCAUGUAUGCAUAGUUAUAGUUAUAUAGAUGCCGGCCACCAUCGCAUAGUUGCAGGGACAUGGAGAUGAGGAGCCGCGAGUGUAUCACUGUUCAUUGGCAAUAAAAUUAACAGGAU